UUCUGCGCUCUGGUUGGUUUGGUUUAUAUGUUUCCGUUUCGUAUUAGUGAUGCAGUCUCAUUAAAGUUGGUGAUUUUUGUUAUUAUAUUGUUAGUUACUGUACUCAUGUGAUAGUUUUUAAUUUAUAGUGAAGUGAAAACACCAUUCUGUGCAAUAAACAUCAGUUUUCUGUUAUUUUGGUAAAUGUGAACUGGUAGGCAACAGUCUUGCUUUAUUGUAAAAUUCAAGUCAUAGAUCUUUCUUGGGAACUGAUGUUUUUCUCCUUCCUGAUAUAAACCAUAUUAAAUGACCAAUAACAUGGUUUUAGGGGGUAUAUUCAUAAAUAGUUUUUUUUAAUGUCCUGUUUAUGUGCUGUUUCUGGAUAUCGCUCUGGGGCAGGUCAGUGUUUCACAAGAUAUCGUAUACUGUAGUUUGGAUCCUAUACUGUAGUUUGGAUCGAGUGAGUUUGUGAUAAUCAUGGAUCAACCAUCCACUAGUGAAUCGUAGUGAAUUGUAUGUGUCAGACUGUUUUGUUGGGCAUGUUAAGAGUAGGCUAUACAUUUUGACCGAAACAAGAUUAUUUCCUUUUUAAUACAAUACGGAAUUUGUAAUAAUAAGUGUAUUUGUUCGUCGUGCGGUGGUGUAUUGUUUUCAAACCAGGAGACUUUGAGGUUUCGUUGCAACAGAAAAUUUAGUAAAUGUAGUAAAAAAAAUUUUAAAUGUUGUAAUGUUUAAAAAGUCUGGCCGGACAGGUUUCUUUUUUGAAAGAACGCGCUUAGAAAUAGAGACAUAUUUUAGUUUGGUGACUACGUGUUGCAUUUAAAGCCACAUAGACAACGCUACAUUUCGUUGGAGUUUGGCGUUUCUGCACACUCUGUGGUGGACUGGUAUUCUUUCUGCCAUAAAGUGUAUUUCCAUCACAUUUUAACGACGUUGAAAAAAAUUGGCGGUCCUCUGACAUUCGUUGAAAUUGAUGUGGCCAAAUUUGGAAGGAGAUAAUACAAUCGCGGCAGAAGAAUUCAGGGACAGAGGAUUUUUGGGGGAAUCAUAAUGUAGAACAUAGAUUCCUUCCUUGUUCCUGUUCAACAACCUGACAGGGACACCCUCCUUAACGUAAUUAAUGAAUAUGUUCUGCCAGGAAAAGACAAUUGUUAACGACUGUUGGAAGGCCUCCAACUGUCUCGGUGACGAGGGAUUCAGGCACUUCUCCGUUUUUUGUUGCUGCCGCUCAGCUCUAUCUGCCAACACACUAAUGCAAAGGUCCAACCUACACUAAUCUACAUGGAAGUCCUGGAUACAGACCAUGACCCUGACGAAAUUGAGACUUUGACGACAUUGUGACUCUGACGACAUCUACAGCCUCCUCCCCCCAACUGAUGAACCGAUGCUGGGGACGUCAGAAGGUUUGAGCGUGAACGGAGCUUAGGUCCAAAGUCUCGCUUGCACAGCUGGAAAUAUGUGAAAAAGAAUAUCAGCUGGAGAUCCCUGCAGUGGUGAGGAGGAGGGUACCGAAACAUCUACAUGGCCUUGGCGAAGGUCGAGGUUGUGGUGGAGGUCAUGUUCGUCAGAGAGCCCAUGACCAUGGUCAACCCAUUGGAGGUUGAUAAUAAAGUUUCAGGAAAUAUGUUUCACUCAUAAUUUGGACAUAAAUUGUUAAUUCAGAGGUACGAGGACCUUUUAUGGAGACUUUGUAUGGUUAGAAAGCACUUCUCUGUGACGGAACGUUAAGGGAGCGGGGCAGCCAGCUUUUAUGGACUAACGCAGUUCACAGUCUUCAGUGAAUGAUCUUUACUCUUUUGAGUGUAGAAGACAAGAGAGCUACCUAAACCACUUGCUGGAAACAUUAAGAAGCCGGAAAAUCUCAAUCAUCAAUCUAAAGCUAAAUGUGUGUAGAAGCUUUUAGUAACAAGGAACCCAAAUUAAUUUUUGCUUCAAGAACAGACAGAUGAUAGGACCAGCUGUAACUAAGGCAAUCUAUUGUUACAAAUGGUUUGUAAAAAUUGUUUCUCAUAAAUAACUCAAACUGUAGUGUAACCCUGUAUAUAAUCGAAAAAGUAAAAAUAAAGCAUGGUAAAAAAUUUAAAA
RNAcentral lists this long non-coding RNA (2064 nucleotides) under Homalodisca vitripennis (glassy-winged sharpshooter). Its description in RNAcentral is "uncharacterized LOC124369823". Lineage: Eukaryota; Metazoa; Arthropoda; Insecta; Hemiptera; Cicadellidae. The record is from RNAcentral.